This 339-nucleotide ribosomal RNA is filed under the name Triticum aestivum (bread wheat). Its description in RNAcentral is "partial small subunit ribosomal RNA". Lineage: Eukaryota; Viridiplantae; Streptophyta; Magnoliopsida; Poales; Poaceae. The record is from RNAcentral.
AUGCUGCAACUUUCAGGGGAUGGGUCUGUAGGGAAUUGGUCUGAACGGAAGGAGCGCUUCAGCAAGGAGCAAGAGGACGCCCUUCAGCUCCUCUGCUCCCUCCAGGAACCGUGGUUUACCCAUUUUGAUGACCUUCAGCAUCUCCCUGCAGGGCUGGGCAACCUUACCAACCUCAAGAUAUUAUCAAUCAUUGUAUGUCCAGCCGUCUCGUCAUUGCCCAACGAUGGCCUCCCCAAGUCACUGCAAGAGCUAAAUGUCAGAUCCUGCCGAAAUGAAAAGCUAAAACAGCAGUGCAGAGGGUUAGUGGGAACCAUCCCCAAAAUCAUAAUAGACUACUAA